Long non-coding RNA from Spinacia oleracea (spinach), 1855 nucleotides. RefSeq lists it as uncharacterized. NCBI's taxonomy places the organism in Eukaryota, Viridiplantae, Streptophyta, Magnoliopsida, Caryophyllales, Amaranthaceae. The transcript has 5 exons. The record is from RefSeq and is a predicted model, not a curated record.
AACCCCCUUGUUGCAGCGUACAAGUAUUAAUACGCUUCAACAACCAGUCGGUCAACGCGGGUCAAACCCUUUAAAGGGUUGUUGCAGCGUACAAAUUAAUUGCCCCCUGCAAAAGAGAUUUUUGCAGCGUACAUAGUAAAAGCCCCCUGCAAUAGACCUUUUAUUUUGCAGCGUACAUGGUAAAAGCCCCCUGCAAUAACAUAUUUGUAAUUUUUUUCGCUGCAACUUUAACUCAGACCAAACAUUUCUACCUCAAACCUCAUGACCAAUUUCGCAGCGAAUAUCCCACUCUCAUUACUCCCUUCUUCUUCUCUCGGCUUACCCUGCGUCUCGCCGGUGGUUCUCACCAGUGGUCGUCGCCGCGUGGUCUCGCCCGUCGCCGGUGGUACUCUAGCAAGAGUCUAUUUAAUUUCCUCACCUCUCACCGGUGGUUCCCUGCUCGAAAAACCCCCGCAAAAGGUAUUCCCUGCUCGAAAAAACAACCGGCGAAGUGAUUCCCUGCUCGGAAAACUAAGCUUCUUUGCUCGGCCGGUUCGCGAACCCUGUUCUCCGUCAAUCCUCGCUGCGGCAAAGAAAGCCAAAGAAAUUGUUGGCUGACAAGAUUAGGAGAAAAUACAUACGUUUAUCUCGGGUGGGUUAUGAUUUCUUUUGUUUUAAAUGAUGAAAUUUUGCAAAUUCUUGAAUCUUGAUCUUCGUAUGUAAUUUAAACAGAGAUAUAUCAAUUAAUUUGAUUUUCUUGAUGAGAAAAAUAUUGUAAUAAUCCCUGAUUAAGGAAAUAUAAUUCUGUUCAUGCUAGAAAAAUUCACUCAAAGAUAAAUGUUGAACAUCCGACUACCGUAAAAGUGAUGUAAAAUCGAAUGUUUCUGGUGGUUUCAUCUUGGUUAGUACCUCAAAUCAUGUUUUAGGCUCUUUCAUUAGGCAAAUGUGAAAAACUACUCCCUCCAUUCUUGAAUGUCAGUCCUUUUUUGAAUCUAAAGCAAUCCAAUUUAAGUAAUUUCAUGUUUCAUGUUUUAGGCCUUUUCAUUAGCCAAAUGUGACAAACUAUAUAUUAUUCUGAUGAAAUUAAUAUGCUUAUUUUGAGGUGUUUUCUUACUUGGUUCAUUUGGUGGAGUCACAGAGACUUCCUCCACCCUUUUGAAGGGCGCAUAUACCAGUAAAAAACCGUACUGUUAUAGUACUCGAGACAGAUACUGGAGAACAAUACGAAGCCAAUUAUCUGCCUCAAUAUCGUGGACUCAGUGGUGGGUGGAAAAGGUUUGCCAUAGUUCUGAAAUUGGAAGGAGAUACUGUUGUUUUUCAACUAGUUGAACCUGCCAAAUUUAAGUCUACCUCUUCUAGAAUCAAAUCACUAAACUAGUUGAAGCUGAGGAUAAAAGCUGCUAAUGAAGCUGAGGCGGCUUGCCAACGGCGUCUCUCUGUUGCUGAGGCUGAAAUAGCUGAUUUAAGAUCCAAAUUGGAUACUACUGAAAGCAUGGAAGGCAAGCAUUCGUUUCUGUGCCUAGCACUUUUCCUGUGCCUGGAGAAGAACUGAUGUUUUGAUGAUUGUAAGAGGGGCAAGGAGAAGCUUGUUUGUGAUGCUGCUCAAGUACUGCUUUAUUUCGGAGUUGAACAAAUCAUCUAUGUUUCUGAAAUGACGCACUGCUAAAUAAAGGUCUAUACUCCGAGGACUGCGCCUUAUGCUAGUGAGGAAAUUGAUGUGGUUCGUGAGCAAUGGGCGAAGUUUUUUACCACCAAGUAUUUAUUAUUGACCUGAGGGCGCUUGAUCGUGUUGGUUUAGAUGUUAUAGAACAAUCUUUUAUGUUAAAAUGUAUGCGUACGUUGAAAUUGGAACGUAAAUAUAUUUAAAUGUAUCAGU